Molecule: ribosomal RNA, 776 nt
Filed under: uncultured Neocallimastigales
Lineage: Eukaryota; Fungi; Neocallimastigomycota; Neocallimastigomycetes; Neocallimastigales
Description: partial large subunit ribosomal RNA
Rfam family: Eukaryotic large subunit ribosomal RNA
Source: RNAcentral
CGUCUAUAUACGUAUAGCAUAUCAAUAAGCGGAGGAAAAGAAACUAACAAGGAUUCCCUAGUAACGGCGAGUGAAGCGGGAAGAGCUCAAAUUUGAAAUCUUAAAGGUUUUACCUUGACGAAUUGUAGUUUAAGAAGUGUUUUCUGUUGGAGUUUCGGUAAAAGUUCUUUGGAAUAGGACAUCAUAGAGGGUGAGAAUCCCGUAUUUGACCAUUACUUUCCAGCUGUGUGAUACACUUUCAAAGAGUCGGAUUGUUUGGGAAUGCAGUCCAAAAUGGGUGGUAAAUUUCAUCUAAAGCUAAAUAUUGGCGAGAGACCGAUAGCGAACAAGUACCGUGAGGGAAAGAUGAAAAGAACUUUGAAAAGAGAGUUAAACAGUACGUGAAAUUGUCAAAAGGGAAGCGUUUGACACCAGUGUUGUUUAGUUCGAAAAUCAAUUAAAAUAGAUUUGUGAUUUUGAGUAGUAUUGACUUUAUCAGCUUUCUGCACUUUCUUUUCAUAUUAUUUAAUGCACUUUUCAGUUAACAAGUCAACAUCAAUUUCUUUUGUUGUAAAAGAGUAAUAGGAAGGUGGCUUGCUCUUCGGCGCAAGUGUUUAUAGCCUUUGAUCUCUGCAAUCGGAGAGAUUGAGGUCUGCAGCGUAGAUCCUUCGGGGUUAGAUACAUUUGUGCUAAGUUAUAGCCUUGUAUAGACAACUUGUUGACUACGCUCAGUCAUGUAGCUUACUCGCUUAUGCUAUUUUACCUACGCUUAGGAUGUUGAUAUGCAUGACUGAUAU